UGUGUUUGAUAAUACAAAUGGCGCAAGAUUAGCCAUGCAUGUCUAGGUAUAAGCAAUUAUACCGUGAAACUGCGAAUGGCUCAUUAAAUCAGUUAUCGUUUAUUUGAUAGUACCUUACUACUUGGAUAACCGUGGUAAUUCUAGAGCUAAUACAUGCUGAAAACCCCGACUUCGGAAGGGGUGUAUUUAUUAGAUAAAAAACCAAUGCCCUUCGGGGCUCUUUGGUGAUUCAUGAUAACUUAACGGAUCGCAUGGCCUUGCGCCGGCGACGGUUCAUUCAAAUUUCUGCCCUAUCAACUUUCGAUGGUAAGGUAUUGGCUUACCAUGGUUUCAACGGGUAACGGGGAAUUAGGGUUCGGUUCCGGAGAGGGAGCCUGAGAAACGGCUACCACAUCCAAGGAAGGCAGCAGGCGCGCAAAUUACCCAAUCCCGACACGGGGAGGUAGUGACAAUAAAUACUGAUACAGGGCUCUUUUGGGUCUUGUAAUUGGAAUGAGUACAAUUUAAACCCCUUAACGAGGAACAAUUGGAGGGCAAGUCUGGUGCCAGCAGCCGCGGUAAUUCCAGCUCCAAUAGCGUAUAUUAAAGUUGUUGCAGUUAAAAAGCUCGUAGUUGAAUCUUGGGUCUGGCUGGCCGGUCCGCCUCACCGCGUGUACUGGUCCGGCCGGGCCUUUCCUUCUGGAGAGCCCCAUGCCCUUCACUGGGUGUGCGGGGGAACCAGGACUUUUACUUUGAAAAAAUUAGAGUGUUCAAAGCAGGCCUUUGCUCGAAUACGUUAGCAUGGAAUAAUAGAAUAGGACGUGCGGUUCUAUUUUGUUGGUUUCUAGAACCGCCGUAAUGAUUAAUAGGGAUAGUCGGGGGCAUCAGUAUUCAAUUGUCAGAGGUGAAAUUCUUAGAUUUAUUGAAGACUAACUACUGCGAAAGCAUUUGCCAAGGAUGUUUUCAUUAAUCAGUGAACGAAAGUUAGGGGAUCGAAGACGAUCAGAUACCGUCGUAGUCUUAACCGUAAACUAUGCCGACUAGGGAUCGGGCGGUGUUUCUAUCUUGACCCGCUCGGCACCUUACGAGAAAUCAAGUUUUUGGGUUCUGGGGGGGAGUAUGGUCCGCAAGGCUGAACUCAGAGAUAUAUGAAGCAGCAACGAA
Molecule: ribosomal RNA, 1143 nt
Filed under: Amorocoelophoma cassiae
Lineage: Eukaryota; Fungi; Ascomycota; Dothideomycetes; Pleosporales; Amorosiaceae
Description: SSU rRNA
Rfam family: Eukaryotic small subunit ribosomal RNA
Source: RNAcentral